Molecule: ribosomal RNA, 559 nt
Filed under: uncultured bacterium
Lineage: Bacteria
Description: bacterial SSU rRNA
Rfam family: Bacterial small subunit ribosomal RNA
Source: RNAcentral
CGGAAUCUGCCUAUUUGUGGGGGAUAACGUAGGGAAACUUACGCUAAUACCGCAUACGACCUACGGGUGAAAGCGGAGGACCUUCGGGCUUCGCGCAGAUAGAUGAGCCGAUGUCGGAUUAGCUAGUUGGCGGGGUAAUGGCCCACCAAGGCGACGAUCCGUAGCUGGUCUGAGAGGAUGAUCAGCCACACUGGAACUGAGACACGGUCCAGACUCCUACGGGAGGCAGCAGUGGGGAAUAUUGGACAAUGGGCGCAAGCCUGAUCCAGCCAUGCCGCGUGGGUGAAGAAGGCCUUCGGGUUGUAACGCCCUUUUGUUGGGAAAGAAAAGCAGUCGGUUAAUACCCGAUUGUUCUGACGGUACCCAAAGAAUAAGCACCGGCUAACUUCGUGCCAGCAGCCGCGGUAAUACGAAGGGUGCAAGCGUUACUCGGAAUUACUGGGCGUAAAGCGUGCGUAGGUGGUUUGUUAAGUCUGAUGUGAAAGCCCUGGGCUCAACCUGGGAAUUGCAUUGGAUACUGGCAGGCUAGAGUGCGGUAGAGGGUAGUGGAAUUCCCGGU